Molecule: long non-coding RNA, 426 nt
Organism: Dicentrarchus labrax (European seabass)
Lineage: Eukaryota; Metazoa; Chordata; Actinopteri; Moronidae
Exons: 2
Source: RefSeq, a predicted model, not a curated record
CUUUAUGGCUGUGAUUUCUUGUGGCACCCUCAACUCUCAUUACACAGGAUCACAAAUUUCACUGUAACUUUCCCUGAGAAACUGGGCUCAGGAGAUAAUAUCAAGACCAGGGUGAGUUAUCACUGUUGUGAGUCGCAGAGAAUUCGUGCUGAAAUGAGGGUGAAGGAACAAACACUGCGCAGAGGAAUAUGAACUACUAUGUGUCCAUCUCUUUUUACAGUGUUCUCAACCAAAAUUAGACUGAAAGGUACAUCCUGUUGGCCUGACCUUGGGGGAGCAGAUCUGACUCAUCCAUAGCUGCAGGACUGGGAUCAAUGCCACGUUCCUUGACUCCUUCAAGGCUGGUGGUGAUAGUAGCUGUCCAGCUUUUAAUGGAGACAGUUAUGGAAAAAAGGAUGGUAAAGUAAAAUAAAAAAUAAAAAAUCA